GUCUUUGGCCAUACCACCCUGAAUACACCCAAUCUCAUCUGAUCAUGGAAGUGAAGCAGGAUCCGGCCUGGCAAGUACUUGGAUGGGAGACCACCUGGGAAUACUGGCGCUACAGGCU
Molecule: ribosomal RNA, 118 nt
Organism: Capra hircus (goat)
Lineage: Eukaryota; Metazoa; Chordata; Mammalia; Artiodactyla; Bovidae
Source: Ensembl